GGCAGGUUAGCUCAGUUGGUUAGAGCAUGGUGCCAAAAACACCAAGAUCACGGGUUCAAACCCAGUAUAGGCCA
Molecule: non-coding RNA, 74 nt
Organism: Elephantulus edwardii (Cape elephant shrew)
Lineage: Eukaryota; Metazoa; Chordata; Mammalia; Macroscelidea; Macroscelididae
Source: the annotation of a RefSeq genome assembly